UUUCCUUCUCUCUUCUCAUUUCCUUCCUUUUUCUCUCUUUUGUCGAAGUUUUUCUCUCUUUUUUUGGAUUUUGCUUGCUGUUUUUUUUCUCUUUUUUGUGAUUCUUGCUUGCUUUGCUAGGUGUUGGCGAUGGUGGUGCUGCGAUGGUGGUGCUGCGAUGGUGGGCAAGGUGGCACUGGUGCGACGGCAGGAGCUGUUGGAGUUGUUUUGAUUUUUUUGGUUUUUUUUCUUCUUUUUUUUUUGUUGCUAUCUGAAUCCCCCUUUCUCUCUUUCAUUUUUCUUUUUAAUCUUGCUUAUUUUGUGUUCUUUCUCUUUAUCUUCAGGUGACAGUGGAGGGCAUCAUGAACCUAGGGAGGCUACCGGAGUAGCUGGAGGUGGUAAUGUGCGCUCGGGUGCCGAUUGGGUGAUUUGACAUGUCCAGAAGGACUAAACUGUAGAGGAUGCAAAAUUUCUGAGGUAAAAAUACAAUUUUAGAAAAAUAUGGGGCCAAAAUACAAUUUAUG
This 503-nucleotide long non-coding RNA is filed under the name Gossypium raimondii (Peruvian cotton). Its description in RNAcentral is "long non-coding RNA (GRAI_LNC004756)". Lineage: Eukaryota; Viridiplantae; Streptophyta; Magnoliopsida; Malvales; Malvaceae. The record is from RNAcentral.